GACGAACGCUGGCGGCGUGCUUAACACAUGCAAGUCGAACGGAAAGGCCCUGCUUUUGUGGGGUGCUCGAGUUGCGAACGGGUGAGUAACACGUGAGUAACCUGUCCUUGACUUUGGGAUAACUUCAGGAAACUGGGUCUAAUACCGCCUAGGAGCUCUUGCUGCAUGGUGGGCGUGGGAAGGUUUCGGCGGUUGGGGAUGGACUCGCGGCCUAUCAGCUUGUUGGGUGGGUAGUGGAUUACCAAGGCUUUGACGGGUAGCCGGCCUGAACGGGGAACCGGACACACUGGGACUGAGAUACGGCACAGACUCGUCUGGGAGGCAGCAGUGCAGAAUAUUGCACAAUGGGCGGAAGCAUGAUGCAGUAACGCAGCGUGCGGGAUGACGGGAUUCGGGUAGUAUACCGAUUUCGCCUGUGACGAAGCGAGAGUGACGGUAAUGGGUAAAGAAGCACCGGCUAACUACGUG
This 468-nucleotide ribosomal RNA is filed under the name uncultured bacterium. Its description in RNAcentral is "partial 16S ribosomal RNA". It matches the Rfam family "Bacterial small subunit ribosomal RNA", at positions 28 to 507 of the family's 1533-position model. The record is from RNAcentral.